AGAGUUUGAUUAUGGCUCAGAACGAACGCUUGCUGCAUGCUUUAUACAUGCAAGUCGAACGGAGGCCCUAGCUUGCUAGGUGUCCUUAGUGGCGCACGGGUGAGUAACACGUGGGAACAUACCUUAUAGUACGGAAUAACUGCGGGAAACUGUAGCUAAUACCGUAUACUCCAGUAAUGGGAAAGAUUUAUUGCUAUAAGAUUGGCCCGCGCAAGAUUAGCUUGUUGGUGAGGUAAAAGCUCACCAAGGCUUCGAUCUUUAGCUGGUUUGAGAGGACGAUCAGCCACACUGGGACUGAGACACGGCCCAGACUCCUACGGGAGGCAGCAGUAGGGAAUAUUGGACAAUGGGGGCAACCCUGAUCCAGCAAUGCAGCGUGAGUGACGAAGGCCUUAGGGUUGUAAAACUCUUUCAUCGGUGAGGAUAAUGACAGUAGCCGAAGAAGAAGGACCGGCUAAUUCCGUGCCAGCAGCCGCGGUAAUUC
RNAcentral lists this ribosomal RNA (484 nucleotides) under uncultured bacterium. Its description in RNAcentral is "bacterial SSU rRNA". It matches the Rfam family "Bacterial small subunit ribosomal RNA", at positions 8 to 526 of the family's 1533-position model. The record is from RNAcentral.